This 700-nucleotide ribosomal RNA is filed under the name Thalassobacillus devorans. RNAcentral describes it as "bacterial SSU rRNA". It matches the Rfam family "Bacterial small subunit ribosomal RNA", at positions 66 to 744 of the family's 1533-position model. Lineage: Bacteria; Bacillati; Bacillota; Bacilli; Caryophanales; Bacillaceae. The record is from RNAcentral.
GCGGAUCCCCUUCGGGGGUGACGCUUGUGGAACGAGCGGCGGACGGGUGAGUAACACGUGGGCAACCUGCCUGUAAGACUGGGAUAACCCCGGGAAACCGGGGCUAAUACCGGAUAACACCGGACUCCACAUGGAGUCUUGUUGAAAGAUGGCUUCUUGCUAUCACUUACAGAUGGGCCCGCGGCGCAUUAGCUAGUUGGUGAGGUAACGGCUCACCAAGGCGACGAUGCGUAGCCGACCUGAGAGGGUGAUCGGCCACACUGGGACUGAGACACGGCCCAGACUCCUACGGGAGGCAGCAGUAGGGAAUCUUCCGCAAUGGACGAAAGUCUGACGGAGCAACGCCGCGUGAACGAUGAAGGUCUUCGGAUCGUAAAGUUCUGUUGUCAGGGAAGAACAAGUGCCGUGCGAAUAGAGCGGCACCUUGACGGUACCUGACGAGGAAGCCCCGGCUAACUACGUGCCAGCAGCCGCGGUAAUACGUAGGGGGCAAGCGUUGUCCGGAAUUAUUGGGCGUAAAGCGCGCGCAGGCGGUUUCUUAAGUCUGAUGUGAAAGCCCACGGCUCAACCGUGGAGGGUCAUUGGAAACUGGGGAACUUGAGUACAGAAGAGGAGAGUGGAAUUCCACGUGUAGCGGUGAAAUGCGUAGAUAUGUGGAGGAACACCAGUGGCGAAGGCGACUCUCUGGUCUGUAACUGAC